AAAUUCUUUCCUGAAGAGCUACUGCCAACUCUUGCCUUUCUCAGGAAAGAGGAGAUGCUUCUGGAUUUCCUGGAACCUGGACAAACCAUCAACUCUGAGCACUACAUUCAGCUGCUGAUGAAGCUGAGGGCUUGAACUUCCAAAGUCAGGCCAGAGAAGACAAAGUUUCUCUUGCAGCACGAUAACACCAGGCACCAUACCAAUUUGAAGACCGUAGAGGACAUUGCCAGUCUUGGCAGGACUGUCCCACCACACCCACUAUAUAGUCCAAAUUUGAUGCUUUCUGACUUCCAUCAUUUCAGUCUGAUGAAGUAUGGACUGUGUGGGCAAUGUCAUCUUAGCAAUGGCACUAUCAUAACAGUUGUGAAUCACCUCCACUGGUUCAGCUUUUUAUAAGAACAGCAUGCAGGAUCUUGUUCGUUACUUAAAAAAAAAAAAAAAUGCCCAGCUGAUGUUGGUGACUAUGUUGAAAAAUAUUCCUCUGCAGCUGAGACUCUAUCAAAUAGUGUUAUUGUGCUCUAUAUCUGUUGUAAUUUCCAUGGAAAUAAAUAGGAGGCAUUACUCUUGAAGUAACCUACAUAUUUGUAUUCCUCAUUUCAACUGAUGUCAAACUAG
Molecule: long non-coding RNA, 615 nt
Filed under: Gallus gallus (chicken)
Lineage: Eukaryota; Metazoa; Chordata; Aves; Galliformes; Phasianidae
Description: lncRNA (ENSGALG00010004885.1)
Source: RNAcentral